RNAcentral lists this ribosomal RNA (323 nucleotides) under uncultured cyanobacterium. RNAcentral describes it as "bacterial SSU rRNA". It matches the Rfam family "Bacterial small subunit ribosomal RNA", at positions 376 to 714 of the family's 1533-position model. The record is from RNAcentral. Lineage: Bacteria; Bacillati; Cyanobacteriota.
CGAAAGCCUGACGGAGCAAGACCGCGUGAGGGAGGAAGGUUUUUGGAUCGUAAACCCCUUUUGUCAAGGAAGAAGCNCUGACGGUACUUGAWGAAUAAGCCUCGGCUAACUCCGUGCCAGCAGCCGCGGUAAUACGGAGGAGGCAAGCGUUAUCCGGAAUGAUUGGGCGUAAAGCGUCUGUAGGUGGCCAAYUAAGUCUGCUGUUAAAGAUCACAGCUCAACUGUGGGUAGGCAGUGGAAACUGGUUAGCUAGAGGCUGGUAGGGGUAAAGGGAAUUCCCGGUGUAGCGGUGAAAUGCGUAGAUAUCGGGAAGAACACCGGUG